UACGAAGGGGGCUAGCGUUGUUCGGAAUUACUGGGCGUAAAGCGCACGUAGGCGGAUCGUUAAGUCAGGGGUGAAAUCCUGGAGCUCAACUCCAGAACUGCCUUUGAUACUGGCGACCUUGAGUUCGGGAGAGGUGAGUGGAACUGCGAGUGUAGAGGUGAAAUUCGUAGAUAUUCGCAAGAACACCAGUGGCGAAGGCGGCUCACUGGCCCGAUACUGACGCUGAGGCACGAAAGCGUGGGGAGCAAACAGG
This 253-nucleotide ribosomal RNA is filed under the name uncultured bacterium. Its description in RNAcentral is "partial 16S ribosomal RNA". It matches the Rfam family "Bacterial small subunit ribosomal RNA", at positions 524 to 776 of the family's 1533-position model. The record is from RNAcentral.